CCUACGGGUGGCUGCAGUGGGGAAUAUUGGACAAUGGGGGGAACCCUGAUCCAGCCAUGCCGCGUGUGUGAAGAAGGCCCUCGGGUUGUAAAGCACUUUCAGUGAGGAAGAACGCCUGGUGGUUAAUACCCAUCAGGAAAGACAUCACUCACAGAAGAAGCACCGGCUAACUCCGUGCCAGCAGCCGCGGUAAUACGGAGGGUGCGAGCGUUAAUCGGAAUUACUGGGCGUAAAGCGCGCGUAGGUGGCUUGAUAAGCCGGUUGUGAAAGCCCCGGGCUCAACCUGGGAACGGCAUCCGGAACUGUCAAGCUAGAGUGCAGGAGAGGAAGGUAGAAUUCCCGGUGUAGCGGUGAAAUGCGUAGAGAUCGGGAGGAAUACCAGUGGCGAAGGCGGGCUUCUGGACUGACACUGACACUGAGGUGCGAAAGCGUGGGUAGCAAACAGGAUUAGAUACCCCGGUAGUC
Molecule: ribosomal RNA, 465 nt
Filed under: Vreelandella stevensii
Lineage: Bacteria; Pseudomonadati; Pseudomonadota; Gammaproteobacteria; Oceanospirillales; Halomonadaceae
Description: partial 16S ribosomal RNA
Rfam family: Bacterial small subunit ribosomal RNA
Source: RNAcentral